UACGUAGGGGGCAAGCGUUAUCCGGAUUUACUGGGUGUAAAGGGAGCGUAGACGGAACAGCAAGUCUGAAGUGAAAUCCCCGGGCUCAACCCGGGAACUGCUUUGGAAACUGUUGAUCUGGAGUGUCGGAGAGGUAAGCGGAAUUCCUGGUGUAGUAGUGAAAUGCGUAGAUAUCAGGAAGAACACCGGAGGCGAAGGCGGCUUACUGGACGAUAACUGACGUUGAGGCUCGAAAGCGUGGGGAG
RNAcentral lists this ribosomal RNA (245 nucleotides) under uncultured Oribacterium sp. RNAcentral's name for it is "partial 16S ribosomal RNA". It matches the Rfam family "Bacterial small subunit ribosomal RNA", at positions 524 to 768 of the family's 1533-position model. Lineage: Bacteria; Bacillati; Bacillota; Clostridia; Lachnospirales; Lachnospiraceae. The record is from RNAcentral.